Molecule: ribosomal RNA, 434 nt
Filed under: uncultured Blautia sp.
Lineage: Bacteria; Bacillati; Bacillota; Clostridia; Lachnospirales; Lachnospiraceae
Description: bacterial SSU rRNA
Rfam family: Bacterial small subunit ribosomal RNA
Source: RNAcentral
ACGGAAGGCAGCAGUGGGGAAUAUUGCACAAUGGGGGAAACCCUGAUGCAGCGACGCCGCGUGAAGGAAGAAGUAUCUCGGUAUGUAAACUUCUAUCAGCAGGGAAGAAAGUGACGGUACCUGACUAAGAAGCCCCGGCUAACUACGUGCCAGCAGCCGCGGUAAUACGUAGGGGGCAAGCGUUAUCCGGAUUUACUGGGUGUAAAGGGAGCGUAGACGGCAAGACAAGUCUGAAGUGAAAGGCAUGGGCUCAACCUGUGGACUGCUUUGGAAACUGCCUUGCUUGAGUGCCGGAGGGGUAAGCGGAAUUCCUAGUGUAGCGGUGAAAUGCGUAGAUAUUAGGAGGAACACCAGUGGCGAAGGCGGCUUACUGGACUGUAACUGACGUUGAGGCUCGAAAGCGUGGGGAGCAAACAGGAUUAGAUACCCUGGUA